This 1431-nucleotide ribosomal RNA is filed under the name Triticum aestivum (bread wheat). RNAcentral describes it as "partial small subunit ribosomal RNA". The record is from RNAcentral. Lineage: Eukaryota; Viridiplantae; Streptophyta; Magnoliopsida; Poales; Poaceae.
AUGGCGGAGAAGACGGUGGUCCUCUACCCCUCACUAGGCGUCGGCCAUUUGAACCCCAUGGUGCAGGUGGCCAAGGCCUUCCUCCGCCGCGGCGUGGCCGUCACCAUCGCCGUCGUCGACCCGCCGGGGAAGGACCCCGUGCUGGAAGCCGCGGUCACCCGCCUCGCCAGCGCUUCCCCCUCCAUAGCAGUCCACCUCCUGCCCAUCCAGCCUGCGAGCACCAAUGAGCAGUACUCCAACACAGCUUUGCGCAUGCUCGACGAGCUCCGCCUCGCAAGCCCUGUGCUCCGGGAGUUCCUCACCUCACUCCCUGCCGUCGACGCCAUCGUGCUCGACAUGUUCUGCAUCGACGUGCUCGACGUCGCCGCGGAGCUCGCCGUCCCCGCGUACAUGUUCUACGCGUCCGCCGCAGCCGACCUCGCGAUCUACCUCCAGGUUCCUGAUGUCUGCCGCGCGGCGCCUUUCUCGUUCAAGGAUAUGGGAGACACGACGCUGCCCUUCUCCGGCGUGCCGCCGGUUCGCGCUCUGGACAUGCCGGACACCAUGGCAGACCGGGAGAGCGACCUGUGCAAGAGACGAGUGCAUCAGCUCGCGCGGAUGCCGGAAGCGAGAGGCAUUCUGGUGAACAGCUUCGAGUGGCUGGAGUCCAGGGCCGUCAAAGCGCUCCGGGAUGGCCUCUGCGUGUCCGGCGGCCGCUCCACGCCGCAUAUAUACUGCAUCGGGCCACUGGUCGACGGCGGCGUGAGCGGUGAAAGCGGCGAGAGGCACGAUUGCCUCGAGUGGCUGGACAGGCAGCCAAAGCAGAGCGUGGUGUUCCUCUGCUUCGGCAGCGGGGGUGUUUUCUCGGCGGCUCAGCUGAAAGAGAUGGCCGGCGGGCUAGAGAACUCCGGGCACAGGUUCCUGUGGGCCGUGCGUAGCCCACGCGAGGAGCAGAGCAAGUCCGGCGAGCCGGAGUUGGAGGCGUUGCUUCCUGAUGGUUUCUUGCAGAGAACCGGAGACAGGGGCUUGGUUCUGAAGAACUGGGCGCCACAGGCGGAGGUGCUGCGGCACGAGGCAGUGGGAGCGUUCGUGACGCACUGCGGGUGGAACUCGGCGCUGGAGGCGGUCAUGUCCGGCGUGCCGAUGAUCUGCUGGCCGCUGUACGCGGAGCAGAGGCUGAAUAAGAUACACCUGGUGGAGGAGAUGAAGAUUGGGGUGGCGAUGGAGGGCUACGAGGAGUCGUCCCUGAAGGCCGAGGAGGUGCAAGCCAAGGUGAGGCUGGUAAUGGAGUCCGAGGAAGGGCAAAAGCUUCGAGAGAGGGCGGCCAUGGCGAAAGAGAUGGCUGCAGACGCCGUCAAGGAAGGUGGGUCUUCCGACGUGGCAUUUUACGCCUUCUUGAAGCAUGUGGAAGAUGAACAAUCUCGAGGAGCGCCAAAUCCGGCCAUUAAGUGA